UGGGGAAUAUUGCACAAUGGGGGAAACCCUGAUGCAGCGACGCCGCGUGGGUGAAGAAGUAUUUCGGUAUGUAAAGCCCUAUCAGCAGGGAAGAAGAUGACAGUACCUGACUAAGAAGCCCCGGCUAACUACGUGCCAGCAGCCGCGGUAAUACGUAGGGGGCAAGCGUUAUCCGGAUUUACUGGGUGUAAAGGGAGCGUAGGUGGCAUAGCAAGCCAGAAGUGAAAACCCGGGGCUCAACCCCGUGGAUUGCUUUUGGAACUGUUAAGCUUGAGUGCAGGAGGGCAGGCGGAAUUCCUAGUGUAGCGGUGAAAUGCGUAGAUAUUAGGAGGAAC
Molecule: ribosomal RNA, 335 nt
Filed under: uncultured Lachnospiraceae bacterium
Lineage: Bacteria; Bacillati; Bacillota; Clostridia; Lachnospirales; Lachnospiraceae
Description: bacterial SSU rRNA
Rfam family: Bacterial small subunit ribosomal RNA
Source: RNAcentral